Molecule: long non-coding RNA, 4504 nt
Filed under: Olea europaea (common olive)
Lineage: Eukaryota; Viridiplantae; Streptophyta; Magnoliopsida; Lamiales; Oleaceae
Description: long non-coding RNA (OEUR_LNC009519)
Source: RNAcentral
UGGUAAUUUAAAUGUUUAUGAAUGUUAAGUAACCUGCUUUGGCACCUAAAUAUUGUUUUUAUUAUACAUGAAUCAAUUCUAAAAAUUAAAGAUGGAAGUAGUGUUCAUGAAUUUCUUUUUACUACUAAUCAAUCAGCUCUUAUGUACUUUGUUUCCAAAUGGACAGCCCGUGGAAGUGAACGGAUAAGAAGUUCCUCUUAUUCUGUGUACUGCGAUACGGCAUCAUCUUCUCUUUUAAUUGUGUGAUUGGAAUCAUAAUUUGACAGAAAACUAAGACUUGUAAUGACUUUCUUAGCUUAAAGCAUGGGGGAGUACGUGUGAGCCUGAUCUUAUUGAAUGUAUUUUCUAUAUCUGUGGUAGGUUCCAGUAGAUGUUAGCUACUUUCUUGGCAUAUUUUACCACUGUAGGCAUUAUGGUCCUUAUUACUAAGUAUGGAACACUUAAUGGAAAUGAUAUCAGUCUGACAGUCUCUGUAGUAUGAGCAUUCUUCAGUGCGUUCAUUAUAUCUGCAUUUUAAGAUGUAUUUAGAUGCUUUUUGCAGCAAUAUAUUUCAUCAUAUUGUCUAUAUGCUCUAACCACCAAGUAUAUCUGCAUUUUAAGAUGUAUUUAGAUGCUUUUGUGGCAAUACGUUUCAUCAUAUUGGCUAUAUGCUCUAACCACCAAGUAUAGAACUCUUGAUGUAAAUGAUUCUCGUCUCUGGAGAGUGAGCUUUUCCAGAAGUAUUACCUUAGUUGGAGUCUCUGGAAGUUUUGAUCCUCAGUCAGUUACACUUCUUUUCUUUUGUCUAUGAUUUCCAUAUAGAUUCAUACGUAUUUCUAAUGUGGCACAGUAAUAAGUCAGAAAUUAACCAGUCGUCGUGACUACUCACUUGGGAGUAUAAAGUGGAGGCCUCUGUUUGAAAUACUUAUUUAUAUUCUAUUUUAUGUACCUUACGAGCUUGAAGUGAGAUAAUCUAGUGGUUGAUUUCAUGCCAAUUGCAAUAUGAGAACAGGACUUGGGAGCUGAGAUAAUAUUUGGCUUCUUGAUUCAAUCAUUUUUUUAAAAGUAUAUCACUUUGUGAUGUUCCCCUUAUUUUAUUCUUAUGAGCUGACAUGAGGACAGCUAAUAGAUCGAGCCGAAUCUAAUUAAUACAGUCCAGGCCGGUGGUUCAAAUCGGCUGGGUAAGACUGUGCAUUCCUAUCCUGGUUCCUCCAGAUAUCACCACUCUUGAACUAGAAUCGCUAUUUAUCGCAAACGACUUUAAGAAAAAUCGGAAGUUCUGUAUGAGCUGACAUGAGGACAGCUAAUAGAUGGCAAGUGUAAAUGAGGAGUAGAAGAAGUACUUACUAAGCAUACGUAUAAGGGGCUUUUGCAUUGUUGUUAGUUUCACUGUCUUAAUUGUUAAUCAUGUGCUUUCGAUUAUCUUGGAUGGAAAAAUGGUCUUUUGUAAAGAGUGUUAUACAGGUAGGUGCUGAACCCUGGUUUUGGACUUAUAUGAGCUGACAUGAGGACAGCUAAUAGAUGGCAAGUGUAAAUGAGGAGUAGAAGAAGUACUUACUAAGCAUACGUAUAAGGGGAUUUUGCGUUGUUGUUAGUUUCACUGUCUUAAUUGUUAAUCAUGUGCUUUCGAUUAUCUUGGAUGGAAAAAUGGUCUUUUGUAAAGAGUGUUAUACAGGUAGGUGCUGAACCCUGGUUUUGGACUUGACCGACUCAGGUCACGCGCCCCUUUACUUUCACGCGCCACCACCACGUGUUCAUCACCGAUCUCUCACGAGCACCCUUCUCUCUCUCUCUCUCUCGGUACUGAAUUGUGCAUAUUUUUUUGUUUAUUUGUGUUGUAUACAGAUUUAUCUAUAGGUAAAUGAACUAAUUGAUAAUACAGUGAUCGUUUUUGAAGAGAAGUAUAGAGCAUCUAGGGGUGGGGAGAUGAGCUCACCGCGGCAUAGGCACGAUGGAACUUCUCCUCUGCCUUUGGGUAUGGAUUGGAGCCCUCCCCCUCGUCACUGGGUAUGUUUUUUGAUUAAUUUUUGUUGUUGAUUGAUAGGUUUCCAUUUGAAUUUCAAUGAAUUUGGCUUUUGUUUGAUAGCCAAUCGAUAUAUCGGGAUGCAUUUGGGCUUCCGAUGAAAUUGGACUUCUUUGUGAUAUGUUUAGCAUGCUUCUAUUUAUAUCGAUAACUUUAUACUGUGUGGUCGGCUCUUUAAUCUUCAAGGUUUUAGCUUGAAGAGUGUAAACCCUCAAUUUUCAUGCCACUUAGAAAAUGAUUUUUGGUAGUAUCAACUAAGUAUUGCAAUUUCAGGUGAAAUAUUUUGGUAUGAUCCUUAUUCAAGUACUAUGGACACUUAGAUUGAAAAAAAAUUCCAGUCUUUAGUUCUGUGAUAGUUUAAUCCGAUUUUUUGAUUCGUGGUAAUUGAGUUCACUAUUCAACUUGGAAGUUCUGAAUUUGACCGCAAAUUGGGUCAAGAAAAUCUGAUUAAAAACUUGAGUUCAUAUUCUUAAUUAGGAGGGUCCUGAAUUUACAAGUUCAAAAUUUCAGGGCUGCUAUUUUGUUAAUACUUCAAUUCUGGUGUUUGUGCUUACUUAUUCGUAAUUUUUUAUGCCUUAUCAUUAUUUAAUCUGACAUGGCUGUUUAAUCACUAACUGAGAUUUCUAUCGAAUAUUUGUCUGAGUUGAAAAUUAAAUUGCUCUGUGUUAAUGAUUAAUUCAUUUGCAGGCUAACUUCAUUUUUAGUCAAUGCUGGGAUUCUUUUACCUGUUCGCAAACAAUAUUCCUAUUAAGAUCAUUAUUUGUAUUGACAUCUUACACAUACUACACAGGCAGGGAGGGAAACUGUUUGGCCUCAUGAUCCUCGCACAGGUUGGAGUUACUGUGUUAUAGUACCAUCCUGGGUUGUCCUGGCAAAGUCUAGAGAUUCAGAUGCUAUAGUGGUAAUUUAAAUGUUUAUGAAUGUUAAGUAACCUGCUUUGGCACCUAAAUAUUGUUUUUAUUAUACAUGAAUCAAUUCUAAAAAUUAAAGAUGGAAGUAGUGUUCAUGAAUUUCUUUUUACUACUAAUCAAUCAGCUCUUAUGUACUUUGUUUCCAAAUGGACAGCCCGUGGAAGUGAACGGAUAAGAAGUUCCUCUUAUUCUGUGUACUGCGAUACGGCAUCAUCUUCUCUUUUAAUUGUGUGAUUGGAAUCAUAAUUUGACAGAAAACUAAGACUUGUAAUGACUUUCUUAGCUUAAAGCAUGGGGGAGUACGUGUGAGCCUGAUCUUAUUGAAUGUAUUUUCUAUAUCUGUGGUAGGUUCCAGUAGAUGUUAGCUACUUUCUUGGCAUAUUUUACCACUGUAGGCAUUAUGGUCCUUAUUACUAAGUAUGGAACACUUAAUGGAAAUGAUAUCAGUCUGACAGUCUCUGUAGUAUGAGCAUUCUUCAGUGCGUUCAUUAUAUCUGCAUUUUAAGAUGUAUUUAGAUGCUUUUUGCAGCAAUAUAUUUCAUCAUAUUGUCUAUAUGCUCUAACCACCAAGUAUAUCUGCAUUUUAAGAUGUAUUUAGAUGCUUUUGUGGCAAUACGUUUCAUCAUAUUGGCUAUAUGCUCUAACCACCAAGUAUAGAACUCUUGAUGUAAAUGAUUCUCGUCUCUGGAGAGUGAGCUUUUCCAGAAGUAUUACCUUAGUUGGAGUCUCUGGAAGUUUUGAUCCUCAGUCAGUUACACUUCUUUUCUUUUGUCUAUGAUUUCCAUAUAGAUUCAUACGUAUUUCUAAUGUGGCACAGUAAUAAGUCAGAAAUUAACCAGUCUUCGUGACUACUCACUUGGGAGUAUAAAGUGGAGGCCUCUGUUUGAAAUACUUAUUUAUAUUCUAUUUUAUGUACCUUACGAGCUUGAAGUGAGAUAAUCUAGUGGUUGAUUUCAUGCCAAUUGCAAUAUGAGAACAGGACUUGGGAGCUGAGAUAAUAUUUGGCUUCUUGAUUCAAUCAUUUUUUUAAAAGUAUAUCACUUUGUGAUGUUCCCCUUAUUUUAUUCUUAUGAGCUGACAUGAGGACAGCUAAUAGAUGGCAAGUGUAAAUGAGGAGUAGAAGAAGUACUUACUAAGCAUACGUAUAAGGGGCUUUUGCAUUGUUGUUAGUUUCACUGUCUUAAUUGUUAAUCAUGUGCUUUCGAUUAUCUUGGAUGGAAAAAUGGUCUUUUGUAAAGAGUGUUAUACAGGUAGGUGCUGAACCCUGGUUUUGGACUUGUAUUUGCCUGGAGAGUGGGAGCUGAAUUGUGAAUCUUAUAUUGGAUUAAGUGUGGUUUCAUUGAUGAGUUCGAUGAUUUCCUGAGGAAGUCCAUUUCAGUAGUAAUUUAAGUUCUACAGACUUUGUAAGUUGAUGGUUUCUAGCAUUUCUGUUACUUGAGAGGGUGAAUAUUAUUUCGUCUUUUCCGCUUUUUGUUUUGACUAUAUAAUGAGAAGUAUUUGCCUGGAGAGUGGGAGCUGAAUUGUGAAUCUUAUAUUGGAUUAAGUGUGGUUUCAUUGAUGAGUUCGAUGAUUUCCUGAGGAAGUCCAUUUC